Molecule: long non-coding RNA, 486 nt
Filed under: Brassica napus (rape)
Lineage: Eukaryota; Viridiplantae; Streptophyta; Magnoliopsida; Brassicales; Brassicaceae
Description: long non-coding RNA (BNAP_LNC001214)
Source: RNAcentral
UAGCUACUGUCUCGAUUUCGUCUUCAUUUCUUACCCAUUGAUGCAUAGAGUUUCUUAGGCGAGUAAUUCUGUUGCGGGCUCGCUGUUGCUUUGUUUUCGCAUGAAAGUACUUUGUGUUUCGAUCUCCCGCUCGCAGCCACAUGACUCGACUCUUUUGUUUCCAAUACAGCUCCUCCUCCCUAUAAGUUUCACAAAGUUUCCAUUUCAACUCCAGUUCGUAAUAAUUAAUGAGGAUUUAUGUUCAUUGAAUAUCUACCAAUAUAUAUGCUCAUAUCACUCAAUAAUACUAAAAUUUUAAUAGAAUUUAAUUAAAUAUAUUUAGAAACUCUUAAACCAUUUAUAUACAAACCCUCUCUCCUACUUUUAUGUUCGUUGAGUAUCUACCAGUAUAUAUGCUCAUAGUUUUAAAAUCUAGUCACUAUAUUUCACUCAUUCUGCAAAUACUUUAGAAGUUACUAUUUAGCUAUGUGUAAUACUAAUAACAAU